Molecule: long non-coding RNA, 387 nt
Organism: Canis lupus familiaris (dog)
Lineage: Eukaryota; Metazoa; Chordata; Mammalia; Carnivora; Canidae
Exons: 2
Source: RefSeq, a predicted model, not a curated record
CUCGAUUUUAGGAUAUUUCCUGAUGUCAGAAUAUAUUAAAAGAUAAAGGAAAAAAUGUGUGCCUUAGAAUUGAUGGGACAUCAUCUAUGUGCAUAUAGAUCUGUGUCUCUCUGUGGUCAAAAGUGUGACAAUCAAGGGCAAGAACCAUUUCUGUAUUGUUUACUCUGCAGGCCUAGCAACCAGCACAUUGUCUAGCACAUCGUCCAUGUUUAAUGAAUAACUACAUUUUCUUAAUUACUGGGGCAUGUUUUACCUGGGAAGUGAACAUCCGAUGCUACUGUAGCCCCAAAGCAAUUCUCCACAGAAGCUGAAAAGAAGUCUAAACACCUAUUUUAGCUUAUAGCAUUAUUGCCUUAGCAAAAUAAAAAUGCUCUUGGUGAAAAUCCA